This 65-nucleotide transfer RNA is filed under the name Perumytilus purpuratus. RNAcentral describes it as "tRNA-Tyr". It matches the Rfam family "tRNA". From Rfam's summary of the family: Transfer RNA (tRNA) molecules are approximately 80 nucleotides in length. Their secondary structure includes four short double-helical elements and three loops (D, anti-codon, and T loops). Further hydrogen bonds mediate the characteristic L-shaped molecular structure. tRNAs have two regions of fundamental functional importance: the anti-codon, which is responsible for specific mRNA codon recognition, and the 3' end, to which the tRNAs corresponding amino acid is attached (by aminoacyl-tRNA synthetases). tRNAs cope with the degeneracy of the genetic code in two manners: having more than one tRNA (with a specific anti-codon) for a particular amino acid; and 'wobble' base-pairing, i.e. permitting non-standard base-pairing at the 3rd anti-codon position. Lineage: Eukaryota; Metazoa; Mollusca; Bivalvia; Mytilida; Mytilidae. The record is from RNAcentral.
UGUAAAGUGGCCGAGUGUUAGGCGGUGGAUUGUAAAUCUAUUUACGGAAUAUUUUCCCUUUAUUA